This 499-nucleotide unclassified non-coding RNA is filed under the name uncultured Paraglomus. RNAcentral describes it as "SSU rRNA". It matches the Rfam family "Eukaryotic small subunit ribosomal RNA", at positions 591 to 1092 of the family's 1831-position model. Lineage: Eukaryota; Fungi; Glomeromycota; Glomeromycetes; Paraglomerales; Paraglomeraceae. The record is from RNAcentral.
CCAAUAGCGUAUAUUAAAGUUGUUGUGGUUAAAAAGCUCGUAGUUGAACCUUGGGCCUGGCUGGCCGGUCCGCCUCACCGCGUGUACUGGUCCGGCCGGGCCUUUCCCUCUGUGGAACCUCAUGCCCUUCACUGGGUGUGACGGGGAAGCAGGACUUUUACUGUGAAAAAAUUAGAGUGCUCCAAGCAGGCCUAUGCUCGAAUACAUUAGCAUGGAAUAAUAAAAUAGGACGUGCGGUUCUAUUUUGUUGGUUUCUAGGACCGCCGUAAUGAUUAAUAGGGACAGUCAGGUGCAUCAGUAUUCAAUUGUCAGAGGUGAAAUUCUUGGAUUUAUUGAAGACUAACUACUGCGAAAGCAUUUGCCAAGGAUGUUUUCAUUAAUCAAGAACGAAAGUUAGGGGAUCGAAGACGAUCAGAUACCGUCGUAGUCUUAACCAUAAACUAUGCCGACUAGGAAUCAGACGAUGUUAAUUUUUUAAUGACUCGUUUGGCACCUUACG